GACGAACGCUGGCGGCGUGCCUAACACAUGCAAGUCGAACGGAGUUACUUAGGACGGAGGAUUCGUCCAAAGAUCUUUGUAACUUAGUGGCGAACGGGUGAGUAACGCGUGAGCAAUCUGCCUCGGAGUGGGGGACAACAGUUGGAAACGACUGCUAAUACCGCAUAAUGUGCCGGUGGGGCAUCCCGCUGGUACCAAAGCUUUAUGUGCUCUGAGAUGAGCUCGCGUCUGAUUAGAUAGUUGGUGGGGUAACGGCCUACCAAGUCGACGAUCAGUAGCCGGACUGAGAGGUUGAACGGCCACAUUGGGACUGAGAUACGGCCCAGACUCCUACGGGAGGCAGCAGUGGGGAAUAUUGGGCAAUGGAGGCAACUCUGACCCAGCCAUGCCGCGUGAGUGAGAAGGUUUUCGAAUUGUAAAGCUCUUUCGGGUGUGAAGACAGUGACGGUAGCUAAGGAAUAAGCAUCGGCUAACUACGUGCCAGCAGCCGACGG
RNAcentral lists this ribosomal RNA (494 nucleotides) under uncultured bacterium. Its description in RNAcentral is "bacterial SSU rRNA". It matches the Rfam family "Bacterial small subunit ribosomal RNA", at positions 28 to 520 of the family's 1533-position model. The record is from RNAcentral.